GGGCGCCCCACACUGGACGUAGCAGCAUGCAGAUGUGUCCCAUGGCGCCAUGGCAGCUGCCUGUGGGGAGUGAAUUUGCGCCCUGCGCUGUGACCAGGAAUUGUACCCGUAGGUACAUCUCCUGCUCAGCCAUCCUCAGAUGGAAGUCUGCUCCUCAUCUGUUCCUGCCCAAAAGCCUGUUCAAGUCUUGAGGAGCCGUCCUCGAUGCUGCUGGCGGAGCCUGAGUGAGACCCAGUGCCUCCGGGGUCAGGCCUGAAUCAGAGACACUGCAGCCCGGGACAGCCGCAUCAGUUACCUUGCCCUUCUGGAAAUGUGUAGGCGCGGUCCUCUUCUUGGGCAGUCUGGAAGUCUACCCCUCGGGCCUCGGCUCCUGUUCCAGAGGAGCAGAAACGCUCUUUGCAUCCAGCGUCGUGGAGUUCUUUGUUGGAACAUGUGCUGAGCACUGGCGCCAAGCCUUCGAACAAGGAGGUGAGCAGCCAAGAGCAACACCUGCAGGAAGGGCCGGGCUGCUGGUGUCGGAGGAGUGGCAGUAGGUUCAACAGGACCCUCAGACUGGCAGAGGACAGUGCAGCAGCCAACACACAAAACUACAAUUUGCACAUGGCUAAAGUCCGUGGUUAUCUUACAGCAUCCUGGGCACUUGACAUCCGUGAAGUGGGAAUUGGGUCUCUGCAGCAGGUGCUGCUUCUUGCAUUUCCUGUUCAUUUCUGUAGAGAGAUGGAGGAGCUCCUUUGCUUGAGGUGA
RNAcentral lists this long non-coding RNA (744 nucleotides) under Oryctolagus cuniculus (rabbit). Its description in RNAcentral is "lncRNA (ENSOCUG00000038929.1)". Lineage: Eukaryota; Metazoa; Chordata; Mammalia; Lagomorpha; Leporidae. The record is from RNAcentral.